CUAUGGUUUUCCCAGUAGUGAUGUAUGGAAGUGAGAGCUGGACCAUCAAGAAGGCUGAUCGCCGAAGAAUUGAUGCUUUUGAAUUAUGGUGCUGGAGGAGACUUGAGAGUCCCAUGGACUGCAAGAAGAUCAAACACAUCCAUUCUUAAGGAAAUCAGCCCUGAGUGCUCACUGGAAGGACAGAUCCUGAAGCUGAGGCUCCAAUACUUUGGCCACCUCAUGAGAAGAGAAGACUCCCUGGAAAGGACCCUGAUGCUGGGAAAGAUGGAGGGCACAAGGAGAAGCGGACGACAGACGACGAGAUGGUUGGACAGUGUUCUCGAAGCUACCAGCAUGAGUUUGACAAAACUGCGGGAGGCAGUGGAAGAAAGGAGUGCCUGGUGUGCUCUGGUCCGUGGGGUCACGAAGAGUCGGACACGACUAAAUGACUAAACAACAACAGCAACAACUUUUCUACUGAGCCCAUUUUUUACAAUUCCUCCCCGCUACAGCACAGAAAAUAGUACCAGCCCUCUAGAGAAAAAAAGAGCCUCAAAACCAUGCAUCUUUGUACAGCAAGAACAAACAGCUAAGUAAUCAAUUAAGGAAUGCAUAGGGUACAAGCAUUUUUUUCAUUGGAGACUUGACAUGUCUUUUACAGGCCUCUGUCUAGUAGAGUAAAUGAUGCAAUGAUGGAAGAAACUCCAUGAGUUUGUGUUUGAUAAUGAUGCAGACUUCUUUUGCAUUUCGUUUGUUCAAGAGCAUCAGUUGGACUGUUUUAGUUUUGUCUCAAUACUAAAGCAACAAACAAAAGUUGCAAGGUUCUUUGAAUUCCUGUCUAUUUUUCUACUCUCAUCUCAAAAUCCAAUCUGUACAAAGAUUUAUUUCUUACAAGGUAUUUUACUUGAAAAUGACUUUUUCAUAUCCACACCUAAGAAUUUAGCUUUGAUAUCAAAGUCACCUACCUCUUCACCAGAUAUAAUUUCAAACAUCACAUUCUUAAACCUUACAAGAGAAAAACAUAUAUGAGAGUAUGUAUUUUGGUAAAGAAUUAUUGAAUUAAAAACUACAAACACAAAUGAAACCCCAAAAGCUGACAAAUCUUUAAUAAGAGACAAAAUCUAAAUAAGGUGUUAUAAGAUAGUUGGGUUAAAUAUUUAAUAGGUAAAGAGCAGAGCUAAUGCUCUGAUAAUACUGGGUGCAAAACCUAUUGGUUUGGCUAAACUCCAUCAAUUCCUAGUAUUACACCCUUUUCACUGCCAUAUACUUCAGUGAAAUGCUCUUAAGUUCCUUCCCCUUCCCCUUUGUUUUCCACUUAACUUUAUUAAUCUUUGUGAAUUUAUGUAAAAUGUAAAGGAUGUAAGCGCACAUUAACCCACACACAUUUUCCCCUUUGCUGAAUAAAGGCAGAUGUUUUUAGAACAAUUAA
This is a long non-coding RNA of Podarcis raffonei (Aeolian wall lizard), 1408 nucleotides long. RefSeq lists it as uncharacterized. The record is from RefSeq and is a predicted model, not a curated record. Lineage: Eukaryota; Metazoa; Chordata; Lepidosauria; Squamata; Lacertidae. The transcript is spliced from 2 exons.